AUACGGAGGGUGCAAGCGUUACUCGGAAUCACUGGGCGUAAAGCGCGCGCAGGCGGUCUUUUAAGUUGGAUGUGAAAGCCUACGGCUCAACCGUAGAACUGCAUCCAAAACUAUUAGACUAGAGUGUGAGAGAGGAAGAUGGAAUUAGUUGUGUAGGGGUAAAAUCCGUAGAGAUAACUAGGAAUACCAAAAGCGAAGGCAAUCUUCUGGAACACUACUGACGCUGAGGCGCGAAAGCGUGGGGAGCAAACAGGAUUAGAAACCCUAGUAGUCC
RNAcentral lists this ribosomal RNA (274 nucleotides) under uncultured bacterium. RNAcentral's name for it is "partial 16S ribosomal RNA". It matches the Rfam family "Bacterial small subunit ribosomal RNA", at positions 523 to 796 of the family's 1533-position model. The record is from RNAcentral.